GGGUACUAAAAACUCAGUAUUUCCCAUGAAAAUAUGACAUCUGAGCAUAAAAAUGGUUAGGGAAGAGAUUGAAAGUUGAAAUUCCUAAAAAGCACGUUUCUGAUACCAUCAUAAUGUAUGAUACACAAAAUAUUACCCCUGGCUUCAUUUAGUUUCUGGAAUGGUUUAUGAAGUUAAAAUGAAAAAAUCACUUCUCCCUCCAGAAUAUGCGGUAAUGAGUUCAUAUUGAAAUUUAAAGUCGUAAAUAUUACGGCCUUUCAGAACAUGUAUAACUGAACUUUGCUCCGAAUCAUUUUUCGUUAUUAAUGGUUUAUCGUUGGUGACAGUCAUAAAUUAAAUAACUUUAUGUAUUCCACAUUCUCCACUACCCA
Molecule: non-coding RNA, 371 nt
Organism: Cinara cedri
Lineage: Eukaryota; Metazoa; Arthropoda; Insecta; Hemiptera; Aphididae
Source: the annotation of a GenBank genome assembly